Molecule: transfer RNA, 75 nt
Filed under: Elusimicrobiota bacterium
Lineage: Bacteria; Pseudomonadati; Elusimicrobiota
Description: Elusimicrobia bacterium (groundwater metagenome) tRNA-Arg
Rfam family: tRNA
About the family: Transfer RNA (tRNA) molecules are approximately 80 nucleotides in length. Their secondary structure includes four short double-helical elements and three loops (D, anti-codon, and T loops). Further hydrogen bonds mediate the characteristic L-shaped molecular structure. tRNAs have two regions of fundamental functional importance: the anti-codon, which is responsible for specific mRNA codon recognition, and the 3' end, to which the tRNAs corresponding amino acid is attached (by aminoacyl-tRNA synthetases). tRNAs cope with the degeneracy of the genetic code in two manners: having more than one tRNA (with a specific anti-codon) for a particular amino acid; and 'wobble' base-pairing, i.e. permitting non-standard base-pairing at the 3rd anti-codon position.
Source: RNAcentral
GCGCCCAUAGCUCAACGGAUAGAGUGUUGGCCUGCGAAGCCGAAGAUCCAGGUUCAAUUCCUGGUGGGCGCACCA